This 219-nucleotide long non-coding RNA is filed under the name Setaria italica (foxtail millet). RNAcentral's name for it is "long non-coding RNA (SITA_LNC000460)". The record is from RNAcentral. Lineage: Eukaryota; Viridiplantae; Streptophyta; Magnoliopsida; Poales; Poaceae.
CCAAUUAUAUCAUCUUUCUCUUAAAGCUGAAAGAGAAGUACAUGGACGUCGUCAACAGCAUACUUUCAGGUCCAACCCUGGACGAUCUUUUUCGCAAACAGCGUUCCGUUGACAAGCCCAAGGCUUCUGUUGCCCAGCCACCAGCGACACCAUCUACUACUACACAUGCUUUUGAGAUGAGCAAUUUGUCUCCUGUGCAGUCCCAACCGUAGAAGAAAG